Molecule: ribosomal RNA, 443 nt
Filed under: Prevotella sp. oral taxon G57
Lineage: Bacteria; Pseudomonadati; Bacteroidota; Bacteroidia; Bacteroidales; Prevotellaceae
Description: bacterial SSU rRNA
Rfam family: Bacterial small subunit ribosomal RNA
Source: RNAcentral
GAUGAACGCUGGCUACAGGCUUAACACAUGCAAGUCGAGGGGAAACGGCAUUGGGUGCUUGCACCGAAUGGACGUCGACCGGCGCACGGGUGAGUAACGCGUAUCCAACCUUCCCGUUACUGCGGGAUAACCUGCCGAAAGGCAGACUAAUACCGCAUGUUCUUCGAUGACGGCAUCAGAUUCGAAGUAAAGAUCCGUCGGUAACGGAGGGGGAUGCGUCUGAUUAGCUUGUUGGCGGGGCGACGGCCCACCAAGGCGACGAUCAGUAGGGGUUCUGAGAGGAAGGUCCCCCACAUUGGAACUGAGACACGGUCCAAACCCUACGGGAGGCAGCAGUGAGGAAUAUUGGUCAAUGGGCGGAAGCCUGAACCAGCCAAGUAGCGUGCAGGAUGACGGCCCUACGGGUUGUAAACUGCUUUUAUGCGGGGAUAAAGUGAGGGACG